CGAAGGGGCGUAGCGUUGCUCGGAAUGACUGGGCGUAAAGGGACGGCGUAGGCGGACAUAUUAGUCAGGCGUGAAAUUCCUGGGCGUUAACCUGGGGGCGUGCGUUUGUAUACGGUGUGUCUUGAGUGGGGAAGAGGGUCGUGGAAUUCCCAGUGUAGAGGUGAAAUUCGUAGAUAUUGGGAAGAACACCGGUGGCGAAGGCGGCGACCUGGUCCUUGACUGACGCUGAGGCGCGAAAGCGUGGGGAGCAAACAGGAUU
RNAcentral lists this ribosomal RNA (259 nucleotides) under uncultured bacterium. Its description in RNAcentral is "partial 16S ribosomal RNA". It matches the Rfam family "Bacterial small subunit ribosomal RNA", at positions 526 to 779 of the family's 1533-position model. The record is from RNAcentral.